RNAcentral lists this small nuclear RNA (105 nucleotides) under Dasypus novemcinctus (nine-banded armadillo). Lineage: Eukaryota; Metazoa; Chordata; Mammalia; Cingulata; Dasypodidae. The record is from RNAcentral.
GUGCUUGCUUUGGCAGCACAUAUGCUAGAAUUAGAACGAUAGAGAAGAUUAGCAUGGACCAUGUGCAAGGAUGAAACACAAGUUUGUGAAGUGUUCCAUAUUAAG